Molecule: ribosomal RNA, 233 nt
Filed under: uncultured bacterium
Lineage: Bacteria
Description: partial 16S ribosomal RNA
Rfam family: Bacterial small subunit ribosomal RNA
Source: RNAcentral
CGGGACGGGUGAGUAAUGCUUGGGAAUCUAGCUUAUGGAGGGGGAUAACUACGGGAAACUGUAGCUAAUACCGCGUAAUAUCGAAAGAUUAAAGUGUGGGACCUUCGGGCCACAUGCCAUAAGAUGAGCCCAAGUGGGACUAGGUAGUUGGUGAGGUAAAGGCUCACCAAGCCGACGAUCUCUAGCUGGUCUGAGAGGAUGACCAGCCACACUGGGACUGAGACACGGCCCAG